RNAcentral lists this ribosomal RNA (852 nucleotides) under Triticum aestivum (bread wheat). Its description in RNAcentral is "partial small subunit ribosomal RNA". Lineage: Eukaryota; Viridiplantae; Streptophyta; Magnoliopsida; Poales; Poaceae. The record is from RNAcentral.
AUGGGCCCUGUUGAUCCUGUCAUCCAUGGGGCCCUGCGCGUGACGAUAAGGGAUAGGAUCACCAGAAGACCGUCAGCUUUUAACCGUUUGACCACUUCGGCGGGACCCAUGGAAGCAUCUCGGGCCAUCCUGAGGCAAGUUUCAAAUCCCUUGGGCGGCAACCUGGCGGUACAUGUUGUCCCGGAGGCCGCAGUUUUGCAAUCCCCAAUCACAAGGCAAGAAAACUUGGCAAUGAUUGCGGUGUCUGAAUCUGCGCGGGUGGCGACAAGCGCGACAAGGGAGGACCCACCUAUCCCAGUUGCAUCUGGUGCCGUUGCAACACAGGUGGGGACAGUUUCUAGGACUGCAGUGGAGAGGACAAACACGACGACCGAGAUGGCUUUGGUGAUCGCGUCGCCUACUGGUGUGAGGGAACAGGAGUUUGAGUCACCAUUCAGCAACAAGGCAGAGGUGGAAGCCAUGAGAAACGAGACACCUGCCACAGACAAAUCUGUUGAGCCUGGGGGGAUCGAGGUUCCAAUGAUUGCCCCCACUAUUGAUUCGGCGCGCAUCGAGGAGGGUAGUGGGUGCGUGGGCGUCCAGCCACGUGCUGCUACAUGCACGAAGGAGGCUCAAGGCGACUCGGUGGGAGUGUUGCUGGCACCGGAUGUGGUGGGGCCCGGCGAGAUUGUCUGCCCCAAUGAGAGGUUGUUGCAUGAUUGCACGCAUGCACCAAUUGAUGGGUUUCAUGCAGACCGCGACAAAGGACAGCACACGUCCCCCCUAUCGGGGCUACUGUUGCUGAGGAGCAGUUUUCUGCGUCCGUGCAACAGGUGCAGGACAGGCAGGUUGCGAUUGUGGCUACUGAGUUAA